GGUUUCGGCUCUUGUAAUUUGGGAAUUCCUUUGCCCUUUCUUAUUUCAUCCAGCUCUAGGAGUAUCUCUAGUUCCUCAAGCUGGCUACCUUUGGUGCUUUUUGCCUCUAGCUGGUAACGUGUUGGGUGCCUAAUCUCCAUCUUUCAUGGCGGCCUCUUCCUCUUGCAAGGAUUAGGAACUAAUGAAUGGAGCUACAACUGGUUUUCUUGUUGACAAUAUUAGGAAACCUGCUGUGACUGCUCUUCAUGCGCCAAGGAAAUUUAUUCUCUGGAGGCCAUAUAUUAAUAUUAUUUACUCCUUAUUCUGAAGCUUUCUGGUAUCUGUUGGUCUCCAAAAUGCCAAGUAUAUUAUCAUUAAACUUUCUAAUGACAUGGAUUAGUGUUAUAUUUUCUACCAUCGAGCCUAUUGUAUCGAUAACUGUAUGAGCCUAUGGCGUUGAUAACAGGCAAAUGAGACUCUUUAAAUAGACGCUUUACUUUGAUAUUUAGGUGAAUCUCUUCUUGUCCC
Dendrobium catenatum is the source of this 507-nucleotide long non-coding RNA. RefSeq lists it as uncharacterized. Lineage: Eukaryota; Viridiplantae; Streptophyta; Magnoliopsida; Asparagales; Orchidaceae. The transcript has 2 exons. The record is from RefSeq and is a predicted model, not a curated record.